UGUUGACCUCGGAUCAGGUAGGAAUACCCUUAUUUUGCCC
RNAcentral lists this ribosomal RNA (40 nucleotides) under Trichoderma reesei. RNAcentral describes it as "partial 28S ribosomal RNA". The record is from RNAcentral. Lineage: Eukaryota; Fungi; Ascomycota; Sordariomycetes; Hypocreales; Hypocreaceae.